GAUGAACGCUAGCGGCAGGCCUAACACAUGCAAGUCGAGGGGCAGCACGUCUUCGGAUGGUGGCGACCGGCGCACGGGUGCGUAACGCGUAUGCAACCUACCUCUUACAGUGGGAUAGCCCAGAGAAAUUUGGAUUAAUACCGCAUAGUAUACAGAUUCAGCAUUGGGACUGUAUUAAACAUUUAUGGGUAAGAGAUGGGCAUGCGUUCUAUUAGUUAGUUGGAGUGGUAACGGCACCCCAAGACAGCGAUAGAUAGGGCCCUGAGAGGGGGAUCCCCCACACUGGUACUGAGACACGGACCAGACUCCUACGGGAGGCAGCAGUGAGGAAUAUUGGACAAUGGGCGAGAGCCUGAUCCAGCCAUGCCGCGUGCAGGAAGACGG
This 384-nucleotide ribosomal RNA is filed under the name uncultured bacterium. RNAcentral's name for it is "bacterial SSU rRNA". It matches the Rfam family "Bacterial small subunit ribosomal RNA", at positions 28 to 414 of the family's 1533-position model. The record is from RNAcentral.